GGUUGUAGCUCAGUGUUAGAGCACUUGCCUAGUAUGAGUGAGGUCUUGGGUUCGAUCCCCAGAACCA
Molecule: transfer RNA, 67 nt
Filed under: Marmota monax (woodchuck)
Lineage: Eukaryota; Metazoa; Chordata; Mammalia; Rodentia; Sciuridae
Description: tRNA.Thr
Source: RNAcentral